RNAcentral lists this ribosomal RNA (39 nucleotides) under Bipolaris maydis (southern corn leaf blight pathogen). RNAcentral describes it as "partial 28S ribosomal RNA". RNAcentral also lists the same sequence under 34 other names. The record is from RNAcentral. Lineage: Eukaryota; Fungi; Ascomycota; Dothideomycetes; Pleosporales; Pleosporaceae.
UUGACCUCGGAUCAGGUAGGGAUACCCGCUGAACUUAAG